Molecule: ribosomal RNA, 1000 nt
Filed under: uncultured bacterium
Lineage: Bacteria
Description: bacterial SSU rRNA
Rfam family: Bacterial small subunit ribosomal RNA
Source: RNAcentral
UCGGGUUAGUGGCGGACGGGUGAGUAACGCGUGAGAAUCUGCCCUCAGGAGGGGGACAACAGCUGGAAACGGCUGCUAAUACCCCAUAUGCCGCGAGGUGAAAUGAAUUUCGCCUGAGGAUGAGCUCGCGUCUGAUUAGCUAGUCGGUAAGGUAAUGGCUCACCAAGGCAUCGAUCAGUAGCUGGUCUGAGAGGAUGAUCAGCCACACUGGGACUGAGACACGGCCCAGACUCCUACGGGAGGCAGCAGUGGGGAAUUUUCCGCAAUGGGCGAAAGCCUGACGGAGCAACGCCGCGUGAAGGAUGAAGGCCUCUGGGCUGUAAACCUCUUUUAUCAAGGAAGAAGAUCUGACGGUACUUGAUGAAUAAGCCACGGCUAAUUCCGUGCCAGCAGCCGCGGUAAUACGGGAGUGGCAAGCGUUAUCCGGAAUUAUUGGGCGUAAAGCGUCCGCAGGCGGUCCAGAAAGUCUGCUGUUAAAAAGUGGAGCUUAACUCCAUCAUGGCAGUGGAAACUUCUGGACUAGAGUGUGGUAGGGGCAGAGGGAAUUCCCGGUGUAGCGGUGAAAUGCGUAGAUAUCGGGAAGAACACCAGUGGCGAAGGCGCUCUGCUGGGCCAUCACUGACGCUCAUGGACGAAAGCCAGGGGAGCAAAAGGGAUUAGAUACCCCUGUAGUCCUGGCCGUAAACGGUGAACACUAGGUGUCGGGGGAAUCGACCCCCUCGGUGUCGUAGCCAACGCGUUAAGUGUUCCGCCUGGGGAGUACGCACGCAAGUGUGAAACUCAAAGGAAUUGACGGGGGCCCGCACAAGCGGUGGAGUAUGUGGUUUAAUUCGAUGCAACGCGAAGAACCUUACCAGGGUUUGACAUCCUGCGAAUCUCUUGGAAACAGGAGAGUGCCUUCGGGAACGCAGUGACAGGUGGUGCACGGCUGUCGUCAGCUCGUGUCGUGAGAUGUUGGGUUAAGUCCCGCAACGAGCGCAACCCACGUCUUUAGUUGCCA